Molecule: long non-coding RNA, 1121 nt
Filed under: Cyanistes caeruleus (blue tit)
Lineage: Eukaryota; Metazoa; Chordata; Aves; Passeriformes; Paridae
Description: lncRNA (ENSCCEG00000003307.1)
Source: RNAcentral
GUCAGUUCUGGUCUGUACUGGUCAGUUCUGGUCUGUACUGGUCAGUUCUGGUCAGUUCUGGUCAGUUCUGGUCUGUACUGGUCAGUUCUGGUCAGUUCUGGUCUGUACUGGUCAGUUCUGGUCUGUACUGGUCAGUCCUGGUCAGUUCUGGUCAGUACUGGUCAGUUCUGGUCAGUUCUGGUCAGUUCUGGUCAGUUCUGGUCAGUUCUGGUCUGUACUGGUCUGUACUGGUCAGUUCUGGUCUGUACUGGUCAGUUCUGGUCUGUACUGGUCAGUUCUGGUCAGUUCUGGUCAGUUCUGGUCAGUUCUGGUCUGUACUGGGCUGUACUGGGCUGUACUGGGAUGUACUGGGAUGUACUGGGCUGUACUGGUCACUCAGGGUCACUGCUGGUCAGUCUGGGGCUGUACUGGUCAGUACUGGGCUGUACUGGUCUGUACUGGUCAGUACUGGUCACUCAGGGUCACUGCUGGUCACUGCUGGUCAGUCUGAGGCUGUACUGGGAUGUACUGGGCUGUACUGGGCACGCAGGGUCACUGCCGGUCACUGCUGGUCAGUCUGGGGCUGUACUGGUCAGUACUGGGCUGUACUGGUCACUCAGGGUCACUGCUGGUCAGUCUGGGUCUGUACUGGUCAGUUCUGGUCUGUACUGGUCUGUACUGGUCUGUACUGGCCAGUUCUGGUCAGUCUGGGUCUGUACUGGGCUGUACUGGGCUGUACUGGUCACUCAGGGUCACUGCUGGUCACUGCUGGGCUGUACUGGUCAGUUCUGGGGGCGCUGUUGGGCACUCAAGUGCUGCUGAUGACGUCAUCGCUGGCCGGGGCGAUCCUGGCUGUGAUUGGCUGCGUGGCGGCCACCAGGGCGCGCCCGAGGGCGGAGCCAAUGGUGAGUGACAGCAAAGGGGGCGUGGCUUAGAGCCAUUAAUGAGGGUGUGGGUUAUACAGCUCCCACUUCCUUAUAUGGGCAAAUGGGCGUGGCCUGCUCUGACCACGCCCCCUUCCUCUCCCCCACAGCCCGUGGUGAUUUAUCAGACAGCUCUGCCCGCCCAGGGGGCGGGGCCAGCGGAGGCCACGCCCCUCGAGGCGAAAUAAAGACCAAUCACAGCUGAGCGUGGAUUUGGCG